This 230-nucleotide ribosomal RNA is filed under the name uncultured bacterium. RNAcentral describes it as "partial 16S ribosomal RNA". It matches the Rfam family "Bacterial small subunit ribosomal RNA", at positions 561 to 791 of the family's 1533-position model. The record is from RNAcentral.
UAAAGCGUGCGCAGGCGGUUUGUAAGUCUGUCGUGAAAGCCCCGGGCUCAACCUGGGAAUUGCGAUGGAGACUGCAAGGCUUGAAUCUGGCAGAGGGGGGUAGAAUUCCACGUGUAGCAGUGAAAUGCGUAGAGAUGUGGAGGAACACCGAUGGCGAAGGCAGCCCCCUGGGUCAAGAUUGACGCUCAUGCACGAAAGCGUGGGGAGCAAACAGGAUUAGAUACCCCUGU